UUUGUGUUGGCCUUUGAACUGCUGUGUAUAUUCACUCAUCAAACAGUAUACUUCCUGUGGGUAAAUUAUAUGGCAUAUAAAUGACUCUUCAAUAAAGCUGUUUAAAAUGUAUAUAUGUAUAAAAUGAACGCCAGUUGGUGAGGGAUUACCCUCUUCUAGGUAACUCUGUAGAAUGUCCUCAGUCAAUGGCUAUGAACUUGAAAACGAGGAGGGGGGCAGAAUUGGAAGCCACAGUUUUAUGUGACUAGGACACAGGUCCACACUCUGUCUGGGCCUCACUCUCCCCCUCUGACUCUCUGCUGGAGGAGGUGAGUGGUGCCGGCUGACAGAGCCUCUGCUCUGACUCCCUUGCCCAGCUCUCUGGGUGCUACGGACCCUCCGAUCAUACCAGGCAUCACUGUGAGCUUUGCCUUUGCCACAGAGCACUUCUGCCUUCCUGUCUUUGUGCAAAGAAUUUCCUCCCUCCAGCUCUGAGGAGCAAACACACAGCCAGGAACAAUUGGAAAAUCUGGGUUGGCCUGGCGUCGUUUCCCCCCAAGCCUGGCCCCUUUCCCUUGACCUGGACAAGAGAAGCAACCUAGAGAAAACCCCUUCACAGACUGAAUGGCUUAAGCACCUACUGGGCAAUAAAACACUGCAGGCUUUCCUCUCACGUGUCAGUCCUGACAUAUAGCCUCAUAGGAGAUCAGAGAUAGAGAGACACUUGUCUAAGAUCACACAGCUGCUAAGUGCUGAGUUUCCUGCUCUUUCCACUAGAAGACACCCCCUGGAAAGAGUCCAGGCUGCCUACUCAAGUAGAAGCUGAGUGAAUUGGCAUUGUCAGCUUCUAUACUAAUCACCUGCCUCCCUCCUCUGCCUCCUUAUCCUUCUUGUCAGAAUGCCGGGAUGCCUAAACGCCACCUCUUCCAGGAAGCCUUCCCUCAAGCCUCUACCCGCUUACCCAAAAAGUCAUGAUACCCACGUCCUCUGGGUGCUGGCAGCAAAGACCCAGAGCAUGAGAAGUUCCUUUCGGGAACUGGAACUAAGCUGGGCCUUGGAAAAGGAAAGCGUAUGGACCAUCUGACGCAGCCACUCAGUCAGAGGACUACCACUCAGUCAGAGGACUACCACCUGCUCACUUACAGGCUCCAGGUCUUCAGGUAAAUGGGUAACUCUGGGUCACACAGGCAUGGGUUUAGGGCCCAUCUCCUCCACUGAUUAGCCUUGGAACCUUAGGCCUUAGUUCUUCAUCUGUAAAGAGAUAAUUAAAAUGGUAAUAACGUGGCAAAGACUCGAGGUGUUCCUCAUAUCCAUAUUCUCUUCUUCUUUGUGGGCACCAGUCAGAAUGCAUUUCCCAGACCCCCCAGCUGUGUAAAGUGACCUGUGACUCACAUGGCCAUCUUUCCACAAAGGUCAGAAGUGCCGCUUCCAGGCCUGGCCCUGAUAAGCCUCCCACACAGGAAACAUGCCAUCUUCCCUCUCCUGCUGACUCAGCUGAGAGGAUCUAUGAGGGGAGCCACAAGGUGGAAGGGGCCCUGGGCCCCUUAAUGACUACGUGGGCAGAUCCCUGGCCCAGUCUCUAUGACCAGCACCAGACCCUGAUGUGAGCCUGAUGUAAGCUUUUAUGAUGAUAAGUCAUGGAAAUUUGGGGCUGUUAUCCUUAGUAAUACAAGUAGUGAGAAUUAUACUUAACUGAACGCUGCCUAUAUGCCUGGCCCUGUGUCACGUGGUGUAGAAGUAACUUACUCAGUUCUCAUGGCAGGCCUUUUUCUGCAGACGAGGAAACUCAAGCACAGAGGCAUCUAUGGCACAGGUUUACGGUGAGGAUUCAGUGAAAUAAGACAGGUGAGGCCCCAGCAUAAGUCAAACCCCACAGAAAGUGCUUCAUACAUGUUUGCAGCUAGUGCAAGUGAUUACUAUGGUUAAAGUGACCCCAAUGAGACCAGUCACAUUUGGGUUUG
Molecule: long non-coding RNA, 1940 nt
Filed under: Sus scrofa (pig)
Lineage: Eukaryota; Metazoa; Chordata; Mammalia; Artiodactyla; Suidae
Description: lncRNA (ENSSSCG00050003346.1)
Source: RNAcentral